GCCCUGGUGGUGCAGUGGUUAAACACUCAGCUGCUAACUGAAAGGUUGGUGGUUCAAACCCACCCAGUGGCU
RNAcentral lists this transfer RNA (72 nucleotides) under Loxodonta africana (African savanna elephant). It matches the Rfam family "tRNA". Rfam says of the family: Transfer RNA (tRNA) molecules are approximately 80 nucleotides in length. Their secondary structure includes four short double-helical elements and three loops (D, anti-codon, and T loops). The record is from Rfam by way of RNAcentral. Lineage: Eukaryota; Metazoa; Chordata; Mammalia; Proboscidea; Elephantidae.